This 27-nucleotide non-coding RNA is filed under the name Mus musculus (house mouse). Lineage: Eukaryota; Metazoa; Chordata; Mammalia; Rodentia; Muridae. The record is from RNAcentral.
UGUCUUGAAAGUACAUUUUCGAGUCUC